AUUUUUUUCCCCCUCUCCUAGCCUCAUUCUCGCCCGUGUCCCAGAGCGACAACCCCAUACAUUUUUUGUAACGUUACAGCAUAAAGCAUCAGCCUCAUCUGGCUCAUGUUCUGUAGUUUCUGUAACGUAACGGUCUGCUGCAGUGUCACCCGAAGCUGCAGUAGCUUCAGGGGCAGGCUUAAGAAAAUAAUGAGAGUGUAGUUUGAGUUGGCUUUCAUUUCAUAUCUACUUUAGUGAUUCACAUUACUUAAUUUCAUGUUUGCACAGAGAAUGACCGUCAAGCAACUGUGUUGUUGUUCCUAGGUGACUCGCAACACAGACGGGGUAUAUGGAAAUUCUUGACCUUUCCUAGUGGGUAUAUGGCGUAUAAAGUACCUGCGUAUCAUGUAGACUGCACCACUGAGUGUGUGUUCUGUCCUCUGGAGUGUUCAUACUGCCUGUGCGCUUUUGUUCAUUCAGCUGAGUUGAUGAUGAUGUUUUGAUUGCGGGGAUUAUCCACCCAGCCGGGAUGUAAUAUUGCGUGAUUCUAUCGUCGGUGCAGUUUGAUGUGGAACAGGCUGAAUGGAGGCCAGAAGUCCUGACUUACAGGGCUUUGAGGUAACCUGGCCUGGAUUUACACCGCUGCCAAGGUACCUGUCGACAGCCGGUAGGGUGCUGAGUUUUGCAGGUGGCGUGCCAGGUGGCGGCCAGCCCGGUUUGUUGCAGAGAUAAAGAGGCUGUCCUCGCUCGUCCCUCUCUCAGGUCGAGCCUGUUUGGAGUUUGUUGCUCUUUUAAGGAAGUGCUGAAAAUAAUAUAAGAUGGAAAGUGAUAAGGGGUGGGGGGGGGGGGGGUUGCACCAGUAGUCAGUCCUACAGAUGGAGCCAAUUAGCAGGCACAAACUGCAAAAAAAAAAGCAGAACAUUUUUUCUUAAGUGCUUCUACCAACAAAUCAUUCUCUCACAUGCUUGGGUAGACUUGCCAUAGUUCCCAAAGUGUGAAACAGUGUGUGAAUAAAAGGAAGUUUGAGGAUAGAAUAUGUGAAAUGUAUUCUUGUGCAAAAAUGUUUUUGAAGGAAAUCACAGGUUUAACACUAAUAAGAGCAAUGAAAAGAUGUCUGCCUCAUUUUGCCCUCUGAUGUUAUGCAGUGUGUGGGCUAAAUAUAGAUUUCUGCUUCCUCUUCAAGAAGCACAAGCUGCACUUCAAAAAACAUUAACUUACCUGAUAGCAAUUACAAAGAACAUAUCCUGGGCACAUGCAUAUCUGUGCCAAAUGAAUAUGCACAAGUGGGAGGACUUUGUAGAAAAAGUCUUGUAGCAUAAAGAUCAGCAGGACAGGAUGCUGACCUUGCCCCCCUCAGCCUCGGGGUUAAGACACAAGGAAGUGCUUGUUGGUUAUCUCAGGGAAGCAAACCAUAGGUGUUAAAAUGCGACACGGGGCAGCACAAAGGGAUGUUUACACUCCCUGCUGUCGCCAAUAAGUAGCCGGCAUCGUUAGCUCCAGUGAUGCUAACGUGCAGUGACGCGAAAGGUGUCGUCAUCAAGAGAUGUGUCAGCCAUCUGGUUAAGUUAUCGAGGAAGGAAGUUUGGUGGACAGCUGACGCAAGCAGUGAGGGAGCGGGGUCACGGUUGCUAGGAUACGUUGGCUAGGGGGAUGGUGGUGGGGACUGCAGCAGCGUUCGCUCCCUUCAUCAGCAGUACGAGACGCUCCUCCGCAGCCUCAGAGCAAUAAAUACUCACCACCCACAGUAAACGGGCACAUUUACCAGAUUGCAAUCUCCAGCAUAUCCUGGCAAACUGCAGUGAUUUGAAGACGUAUCACUGGGGAUGUUGGGGAGGAUAACCCCACUUAGUUUACUCAGUUUACCACCUUCUUUUUGUGCAGAAUAAGUCUUAUAUCAAAUAUAAUAAUAAUAUAUCAAACUGAUGCAAGCUACUCUACAUAAUUGCAGGGUCUGUUCAAGAUAGUAAUAGAUACGAUAAGUUAUCUGCUUCGCUGGAAGUGAAGUAUUUCACAUUUCUGGUUUUAAUAGUCAGAUGAAGAACUGAUAUUUGGCACAGAAGGCUUCAUCAACAGAAUGUAUUUAAGAGGAAAAAGUCACACAGUUAUUUUGUUUGAUCGAAUAGUGAUCACUGCAAUCACUAAUAUUAUAUAGUCAAAUGAUUAUGUGUAAUGUUAAAGUGGUGGCUCAUGGUGACAACGCCACAGAGAAUUAUCACUCAACUCUGCAGCUCACCUCACCUUUACGAAGCAUUGUAGCAUCUUUGAGCUCAUUGUUUUGGUUUUACGGCUGCAACUUUACUGUUGCAGUUGGCAGCUGGUAGUUAAAAUUUUGAUAAACCCAUACGCCAUACGUUUACUGCCCAGAACCAAAUGGCAGACAGCAGCAAAAUUAGCAACUAGCUGGCCAGAAUCACAUCUCCUAAUUAAUGCUUUUGUUGCUUCGUCUGCUGAAUGUGUCUAGUUUAUAAGGUCAUAUGUCGGUGUUGUGUUUCCAGCUUGUACCGCUGCCCCAAAGUGGCCAAAAAAAGAUCAAUAAAUGCAGCUUUAAAAAUGAAGAAAGAUACUGUAAAUCAACUGACGUUUGCUGAUACUCAUGCUGCUCGCAAAGAAGAAGAAAGGCUUUAACUGCUACUUUU
Sander lucioperca (pikeperch) is the source of this 2615-nucleotide long non-coding RNA. RefSeq lists it as uncharacterized. Lineage: Eukaryota; Metazoa; Chordata; Actinopteri; Perciformes; Percidae. The record is from RefSeq and is a predicted model, not a curated record. The transcript is spliced from 2 exons.